UUAAAUUGAAGAGUUUGAUCAUGGCUCAGAUUGAACGCUGGCGGCAGGCCUAACACAUGCAAGUCGAGCGGUAGCACAGAGAGCUUGCUCUCGGGUGACGAGCGGCGGACGGGUGAGUAAUGUCUGGGAAACUGCCUGAUGGAGGGGGAUAACUACUGGAAACGGUAGCUAAUACCGCAUAACGUCGCAAG
RNAcentral lists this ribosomal RNA (191 nucleotides) under Klebsiella quasipneumoniae. RNAcentral describes it as "16S rRNA. Bacterial SSU". It matches the Rfam family "Bacterial small subunit ribosomal RNA", at positions 1 to 185 of the family's 1533-position model. Lineage: Bacteria; Pseudomonadati; Pseudomonadota; Gammaproteobacteria; Enterobacterales; Enterobacteriaceae. The record is from RNAcentral.